RNAcentral lists this ribosomal RNA (42 nucleotides) under Sisyrinchium balansae. RNAcentral's name for it is "partial 28S ribosomal RNA". RNAcentral also lists the same sequence under 35 other names. The record is from RNAcentral. Lineage: Eukaryota; Viridiplantae; Streptophyta; Magnoliopsida; Asparagales; Iridaceae.
CGGGACUACCCGCUGAAUUUAAGCAUAUCAAUAAGCGGAGGA